AAAUAAAAGGUAAAUUUUUUUUUUGAAACAUACUUUUUAAAAUUCGAAUUUUUUUUUAAUUUUUUUCGAAUUUAUUUAAAAAAAAAAUUUCAAAUUUCUUUUUGAAAAACGGAAAUUGUGUUUGAAACUAUUUUUAAAAAAAAUUUAUCUAUUUUUUAAGUAUUUAUAUAUUUAUUAGAAUCAUAAAUUUCACAUUCCAAAACCCUACCCCACCCCUCAACUCUAAACCCUAAGUCUAGAUUAGUCAACCCUAAGGGUAUAAUUGUAUUUUACCCUUCAUUAAAAGUGAGGGUAAAAGUGGUUAGUGUAAACAUGAAAAGUGAUACUAUGAAUGUGGUAUUUGUGGCAAUUUCC
This 354-nucleotide long non-coding RNA is filed under the name Brassica rapa (field mustard). RNAcentral's name for it is "long non-coding RNA (BRAP_LNC000983)". The record is from RNAcentral. Lineage: Eukaryota; Viridiplantae; Streptophyta; Magnoliopsida; Brassicales; Brassicaceae.